Molecule: transfer RNA, 73 nt
Filed under: Phaeoacremonium minimum UCRPA7
Lineage: Eukaryota; Fungi; Ascomycota; Sordariomycetes; Togniniales; Togniniaceae
Description: tRNA-Ala (TGC) (tRNA-Ala-TGC-2-1)
Rfam family: tRNA
About the family: Transfer RNA (tRNA) molecules are approximately 80 nucleotides in length. Their secondary structure includes four short double-helical elements and three loops (D, anti-codon, and T loops).
Source: Rfam by way of RNAcentral
GGGGAUAUAGUCUAGUUUGGUAAAACACUAACUUUGCACGUUGGAUUCUCAGGUUCAAUUCCUGAUAUCUCCA